RNAcentral lists this ribosomal RNA (476 nucleotides) under uncultured bacterium. RNAcentral's name for it is "SSU rRNA". It matches the Rfam family "Bacterial small subunit ribosomal RNA", at positions 26 to 518 of the family's 1533-position model. The record is from RNAcentral.
AGGACGAACGCUGGCGGCGUGCUUAACACAUGCAAGUCGAGCGGAAAGGCCCUUCGGGGUACUCGAGCGGCGAACGGGUGAGUAACACGUGGGCAACCUGCCCUUAGCUCUGGGAUAGCUCCGGGAAACCGGAAUUAAUACCGGAUAUGACCUAGGCCGACAUCGGCCGUGGUGGAAAGUUUUUCGGCUAGGGAUGGACUCGCGGCCUAUCAGCUAGUUGGUGGGGUAAUGGCCUACCAAGGCGACGACGGGUAGCCGGCCUGAGAGGGCGACCGGCCACACUGGGACUGAGACACGGCCCAGACUCCUACGGGAGGCAGCAGUGGGGAAUCUUGCGCAAUGGGCGAAAGCCUGACGCAGCGACGCCGCGUGGGGGAUGAAGGCCUUCGGGUUGUAAACCCCGUUUCAGCAGGGACGAAGCGAAAGUGACGGUACCGUGCAGAAGAAGCGCCGGCUAACUACGUGCCAGCAGCCGC